AAAAAGGAAACCCCAAGAACAUCAACUGCCUACAAUAUCUGCACAACAAAUACACAAUGAAUUACAAUGGGUGGGACAGAGAAUUAAAGUGGCCUCAGGGAGGGGGAUCCUUUAAAAAUUAAAAGAAUUACUAACUUUUAUAAUUUUAUAAAUUGUUAGAAGUCAUACCUUUAUAUAUUAGCAUUAGUCGUUACAUAAUACACACACUUGUAUUAAUUUUGAAAUCUAUGAAUUAUUAUAUGAGGGAAAAUUAACAUUCAAUUAUAAAUGAUCAAAUUAUGUAUAUAAACAAGGUCUGCCCUACUUAUAUGAGUCAAGAUU
RNAcentral lists this unclassified non-coding RNA (321 nucleotides) under Hevea brasiliensis (rubber tree). Lineage: Eukaryota; Viridiplantae; Streptophyta; Magnoliopsida; Malpighiales; Euphorbiaceae. The record is from RNAcentral.